RNAcentral lists this ribosomal RNA (497 nucleotides) under uncultured bacterium. Its description in RNAcentral is "partial 16S ribosomal RNA". It matches the Rfam family "Bacterial small subunit ribosomal RNA", at positions 28 to 507 of the family's 1533-position model. The record is from RNAcentral.
GAUGAACGCUGGCGGCGUGCCUAAUACAUGCAAGUCGAGCGAACAGACGAGGAGCUUGCUCCUCUGACGUUAGCGGCGGACGGGUGAGUAACACGUGGAUAACCUACCUAUAAGACUGGGAUAACUUCGGGAAACCGGAGCUAAUACCGGAUAAUAUAUUGAACCGCAUGGUUCAAUAGUGAAAGACGGUUUUGCUGUCACUUAUAGAUGGAUCCGCGCCGCAUUAGCUAGUUGGUAAGGUAACGGCUUACCAAGGCAACGAUGCGUAGCCGACCUGAGAGGGUGGUCGGCCACACUGGAACUGAGACACGGUCCAGACUCCUACGGGAGGCAGCAGUAGGGAAUCUUCCGCAAUGGGCGAAAGACUGACGGAGCAACGCCGCGUGAGUGAUGAAGGUCUUCGGAUCGUAAAACUCUGUUAUUAGGGAAGAACAAAUGUGUAAGUAACUAUGCACGUCUUGACGGUACCUAAUCAGAAAGCCACGGCUAACUACGUG